Molecule: long non-coding RNA, 562 nt
Organism: Poecile atricapillus (Black-capped chickadee)
Lineage: Eukaryota; Metazoa; Chordata; Aves; Passeriformes; Paridae
Exons: 3
Source: RefSeq, a predicted model, not a curated record
AAAGGAAGUGCUGGGAAUGGCUGUGCUGAUCCUGGGGCUGGCACCUGCCCUCCCCUCUCAAUGUCCUGCAGAUCAAAGGAGCCUUGCUGAAGAAAGCAGCUAAUGGACUCCUUGCCAGCAGUGCAACAGCAACAGGAGCUCAGAGCCUGCUGUGCUGAGCCUUUCUGUCUGCCAGAGCACUCUUUCUCUUCCCUAAGUGGAUGAUUUAUGUGAGCAACCACCACAGAUCAAGAUCUAUGUUGUGUGCUUGGAGGGCAAUUGCACACUCUGGAUGUGGCUUCUGAGAAAUCUCUUGCCUCUGCUAGAGCUGAGACUCCGAGUGCAGAUGGUCACCUUGGCUGUGAGAUGCUGCUAAACCCUGUAUUUGCUUCUAUUCAUUAAAAUAUUUUUUUGGUGCUCUGUGUGCAGAGAAGGCCUGAGAAAUUUCAAAUAUCAUGAAUAUGGAUCUGCUAUGAAGGUUAAAUAAAAUUUUAAUUAAAGCAAACUAAACUCUGAAGUUGGAGAGAAGGCUGAAGCAUGCCUCUUCUGGAGUUAUAUUUGCAUGUUUUCCCCAGGGAAGGGU